CCUACGGGCGGCAGCAGUGGGGAAUAUUGGACAAUGGGCGAAAGCCUGAUCCAGCCAUGCCGCGUGUGUGAAGAAGGCCUUCGGGUUGUAAAGCACUUUCAGUGGGGAAGAAAGCCUUGGGGCUAAUACCCUCGAGGAAGGACAUCACCCACAGAAGAAGCACCGGCUAACUCCGUGCCAGCAGCCGCGGUAAUACGGAGGGUGCGAGCGUUAAUCGGAAUUACUGGGCGUAAAGCGCGCGUAGGCGGUCUGAUAAGCCGGUUGUGAAAGCCCCGGGCUCAACCUGGGAACGGCAUCCGGAACUGUCAGGCUAGAGUGCAGGAGAGGAAGGUAGAAUUCCCGGUGUAGCGGUGAAAUGCGUAGAGAUCGGGAGGAAUACCAGUGGCGAAGGCGGCCUUCUGGACUGACACUGACGCUGAGGUGCGAAAGCGUGGGUAGCAAACAGGAUUUAGAUACCCCUGUAGUC
Molecule: ribosomal RNA, 466 nt
Filed under: Vreelandella stevensii
Lineage: Bacteria; Pseudomonadati; Pseudomonadota; Gammaproteobacteria; Oceanospirillales; Halomonadaceae
Description: partial 16S ribosomal RNA
Rfam family: Bacterial small subunit ribosomal RNA
Source: RNAcentral